Non-coding RNA from Petromyzon marinus (sea lamprey), 260 nucleotides. The record is from RefSeq and is a predicted model, not a curated record. Lineage: Eukaryota; Metazoa; Chordata; Hyperoartia; Petromyzontiformes; Petromyzontidae.
CACGCGCGCACGGGCGGGGGAGAAAGGAAGAGGGGCGGACAGAGAAGAUGACAAGUUCAAUGGGUUAACAAGAAAUGUGUGCAACGGAGAGAGACACGGGUACUCAUCAUGCACAGCGGCUGUGAGAGAUGCACAGACAGACGCGGGCACCGUGAGAAGCAGAGGAAGAGUCAGGGCCAGUGCCGCGUAGGCCUUGUGCCACACAGUGCCAGCUGCCACCGGGGGUCCCCUUGUCAAGACUACAGUAGGGCGAUGGCAUG